RNAcentral lists this ribosomal RNA (486 nucleotides) under uncultured bacterium. Its description in RNAcentral is "partial 16S ribosomal RNA". It matches the Rfam family "Bacterial small subunit ribosomal RNA", at positions 30 to 507 of the family's 1533-position model. The record is from RNAcentral.
AUUGAACGCUGGCGGCAUGCCUUACACAUGCAAGUCGAACGGCAGCACGGGUGCUUGCACCUGGUGGCGAGUGGCGAACGGGUGAGUAAUACAUCGGAACAUGUCCUGUAGUGGGGGAUAACCCGGCGAAAGCCGGAUUAAUACCGCAUACGAUCUACGGAUGAAAGCGGGGGACCUUCGGGCCUCGCGCUAUAGGGUUGGCCGAUGGCUGAUUAGCUAGUUGGUGGGGUAAAGGCCUACCAAGGCGACGAUCAGUAGCUGGUCUGAGAGGACGACCAGCCACACUGGGACUGAGACACGGCCCAGACUCCUACGGGAGGCAGCAGUGGGGAAUUUUGGACAAUGGGCGAAAGCCUGAUCCAGCAAUGCCGCGUGUGUGAAGAAGGCCUUCGGGUUGUAAAGCACUUUUGUCCGGAAAGAAAUCCUUGGCCCUAAUACGGUCGGGGGAUGACGGUACCGGAAGAAUAAGCACCGGCUAACUACGUG